CUUGUAUUUCCUCAUUUGUAAGUAACUUUGAAUAAAAGCGUUUGCUAAAUAAAUACAUGUAAAUGUAUAUGUAAAUGAGAGAGAGUUGCCCCUCCCCCACAGGGAAAACAACUGAACAUUUUUUUUCCUGCUGGAGUUCAUUCUCUCUCUCACAGCGCCAUCUGUGGAGUGGAGGAGCAGCAGCUCACAGCAAAAACUUGGGCAUCUGCGAGAAUGAAGCAACUGAAUGGAGAGGUCACCUCUGAUCUCCAGAUUGAACCACCCACGGAAGGAAGGAAGAAUAGAUCCAGGAUCUGAGUGGGAAAGAGACAAGAAGGUUUCAGAGGCACCACCACUUCCUGUUCCAGAGAGUUUGAGUCCAAGUUUUAUAAACUUGUUGGAAAAGACGCUGCGGGUCACCAUGACAACAAACAAGAUCAGCAGCAAACCAGCCACAGCCCCGAGGCCAAUGAACACUCCGGGCAGGACAGAGUUUUUUUCUGCAGCACAAGCACAGAGAACACCAGUGAGCCAAUGAUGGACACUUGAGAUUUUUGGAAUGAAUAGAAGACUUUGCAUAAAAAGGUGAAAGUGUAAAGAGACCGACAUGUCAAUAAAAGAAGUGUGAACUAAAUAAGAAAA
Long non-coding RNA from Ictalurus furcatus (blue catfish), 621 nucleotides. RefSeq lists it as uncharacterized. The transcript has 5 exons. Lineage: Eukaryota; Metazoa; Chordata; Actinopteri; Siluriformes; Ictaluridae. The record is from RefSeq and is a predicted model, not a curated record.